CCUACGGGGGGCUGCAGUGGGGAAUAUUGGACAAUGGGGGGAACCCUGAUCCAGCCAUGCCGCGUGUGUGAAGAAGGCCCUCGGGUUGUAAAGCACUUUCAGUGAGGAAGAACGCCUGGUGGUUAAUACCCAUCAGGAAAGACAUCACUCACAGAAGAAGCACCGGCUAACUCCGUGCCAGCAGCCGCGGUAAUACGGAGGGUGCGAGCGUUAAUCGGAAUUACUGGGCGUAAAGCGCGCGUAGGUGGCUUGAUAAGCCGGUUGUGAAAGCCCCGGGCUCAACCUGGGAACGGCAUCCGGAACUGUCAAGCUAGAGUGCAGGAGAGGAAGGUAGAAUUCCCGGUGUAGCGGUGAAAUGCGUAGAGAUCGGGAGGAAUACCAGUGGCGAAGGCGGCCUUCUGGACUGACACUGACACUGAGGUGCGAAAGCGUGGGUAGCAAACAGGAUUAGAUACACCUGUAGUC
Molecule: ribosomal RNA, 465 nt
Filed under: Vreelandella stevensii
Lineage: Bacteria; Pseudomonadati; Pseudomonadota; Gammaproteobacteria; Oceanospirillales; Halomonadaceae
Description: partial 16S ribosomal RNA
Rfam family: Bacterial small subunit ribosomal RNA
Source: RNAcentral